Molecule: long non-coding RNA, 216 nt
Filed under: Phoenix dactylifera (date palm)
Lineage: Eukaryota; Viridiplantae; Streptophyta; Magnoliopsida; Arecales; Arecaceae
Description: long non-coding RNA (PDAC_LNC002233)
Source: RNAcentral
UCGGGACAACAAUAUACUGGGUAGAGGCUGAAUAUCUAGGAGUAGAAGGUGCAACCGGGCCGAGUCGAAUAGCUUGAGGUUGAAACUUGGCUCAAUCAAAAAAAAAAGAAGAAGGGUCAUACUCGAGUUCGACUCAACUCGAAUAUCAAUCGAGCCAUACUUGAGCUCGAGUUCGACCUCGAAUUAAAACUUUGCUCGUAAUUAAGAAAUAUAGUU